Molecule: small RNA, 62 nt
Filed under: Andreesenella acetica
Lineage: Bacteria; Bacillati; Bacillota; Clostridia; Peptostreptococcales; Natronincolaceae
Description: Clostridium aceticum RAGATH-18 RNA
Rfam family: RAGATH-18 RNA
About the family: Actinobacteria, Firmicutes, Fusobacteria, Thermotogae (1 example). Nearby to self-cleaving ribozyme genes
Source: Rfam by way of RNAcentral
CCUUUGGAGUGUUAUAUCAAACGAAAGUAGCAUAGGCAAAAUCGGACACGAUGAACAAGGAA